GAUGAACGCUGGCGGUAUGCUUAACACAUGCAAGUCGAACGGACUCUUCGGAGUUAGUGGCGGACGGGUGAGUAACGCGUGAGAAUCUGGCUUUGGGUUCGGGACAACCACUGGAAACGGUGGCUAAUACCGGUUGUGCUGAGAGGUAAAAGAGAAAGUGCCUGAAGAUGAGCUCGCGUCUGAUUAGCUAGUUGGUGAGGUAAAGGCUCACCAAGGCAGCGAUCAGUAGCUGGUCUGAGAGGAUGACCAGCCACACUGGGACUGAGACACGGCCCAGACUCCUACGGGAGGCAGCAGUGGAGAAUUGUCCGCAAUGGGCGAGAGCCUGACGGAGCAAUACCGCGUGAGAGAAGAAGGCUCUUGGGUUGUAAACCUCUUUUCUUAGGGAAGAACAAAAUGACGGUACCUAAGGAAUCAGCAUCGGCUAACUCCGUG
Molecule: ribosomal RNA, 435 nt
Filed under: uncultured bacterium
Lineage: Bacteria
Description: partial 16S ribosomal RNA
Rfam family: Bacterial small subunit ribosomal RNA
Source: RNAcentral